GGAGGGUGCGAACGUUGCUCGGAUUUACUGGGGCGUAAAGCGCGUGUAGGCGGACUCGCAAGUCGGUUGUGAAAUCCCUGGGGCUCAACCUAGGGAACUGCAUCCGAAACUGCUUGUCUUGAGUAAUGGAGAGGGUGGCGGAAUUACCCGGUGUAGAGGUGAAAUUCGUAGAUAUCGGGAGGAACAUCAGUGGCGAAGGCGGCCACCUGGACAUUUACUGACGCUGAGACGCGAAAGCGUGGGGAGCAAACAGGAUUAGAUACCCUGGUAGUCCACGCCGUAAACGAUGAGAACUAGGUGCAGCGGAUAUUGACCUCUGCUGUGCCGUAGCUAACGCGUUAAGUUCUCCGCCUGGGGAGUACGGCCGCAAAGGCUAA
RNAcentral lists this ribosomal RNA (377 nucleotides) under uncultured organism. RNAcentral's name for it is "partial 16S ribosomal RNA". It matches the Rfam family "Bacterial small subunit ribosomal RNA", at positions 527 to 897 of the family's 1533-position model. The record is from RNAcentral.